CACCACAGCUUUUCUCUUCCUUCCUCUUUCUUUCUCUUUUCUUCUUCUUCUUCCUCCUCCUCCUCCUCCUCCACCUCUUCUUCUUUUCUCUGCUUUAGGUGUAGCUGCUGCCUUGAUUUGUUCUUUCAACAGAGCAGGUAAGCCUAAAAUAAUCUUUGCAUUUAGCUGAAAGUUAAUUUGUAGAUGGUAAGGUGGCAAGAGAAUUAAGGGCUAAAAGCUUAAAACGUUGGGUAGAGAAGGAUUUCGGGAGGAAAAAAAAUAUUAAGGAAAAGAAUGGUAAGGAAGGUAAGAAUGGUAAGGGGAAAAGAAUUUUAAAAGAAGAAAGAAUGAUUCUGGGAGGUGGAUGAAAAUAAGAAUGUCGAGGGGGGAAAAAUCUUAAGAGAAGAAAGAAUGGUUUUGAGAGGGUGGAUGUUAAGUUUUAGAGGUGGAUUGAUUCUGCCUUGCUUUAAUCUGUAAAUUUUACUUCCCAAACGGUUGGACCAUUUGAUCUGAAAUUUUAACCGGAGAUUGUUAACUCAUUAAUCAACUUGAAGAUAAAAUUUUAAAAUUUUUGAAUGAAUUUUAUUAAGAUAAAUAAUGAGUAGAUUAAAGCUGAAGGA
Molecule: long non-coding RNA, 599 nt
Filed under: Elaeis guineensis (African oil palm)
Lineage: Eukaryota; Viridiplantae; Streptophyta; Magnoliopsida; Arecales; Arecaceae
Description: long non-coding RNA (EGUI_LNC016184)
Source: RNAcentral